AUUCCCCUCUCGGGCUAAAGUCAACUCAAGUUGGUUUCUGUUACUUGCAGCUGAAGAGCCCAACUACCAGUCCGACGAAAAUCACUUCUCGGAUAGGAGAACAAUCAAAGCGCCCACUUCAAACAUGCCAUGAUGCUUCUGAAUUGAGGGAGGAGAAUAUCGCAAAAGUAUCAGGACACUAGUCUCUCAGAGGCCUGAUGGUAUUUCCUGCACCAGGAAGACGUCCCCAGAGAAAGAGCCCCAUUGUUCAGAGCCAGCAGGGAACUGGGAGUAAUUUUAAGAAGCGUGACUCGGGGAAAUGUCUCCUUCCUGUCCUGCCUAGAACUACUUCUGUUGUCCCAAGUUUGUGUAUUUUGAUCUUCUCAAAUGUCCCACGUAGUUACACAUCCUCCCUGGGUGCCUGUUCAAAUGAUCACUUCUUUUUCUCAAAGGUCCUUCA
This 439-nucleotide long non-coding RNA is filed under the name Neogale vison (American mink). RNAcentral describes it as "Neovison vison (American mink) lncRNA (ENSNVIG00000006747.1)". Lineage: Eukaryota; Metazoa; Chordata; Mammalia; Carnivora; Mustelidae. The record is from RNAcentral.